CCCAAAAGGGUGUAAAAAGGGUGUAUUUUAAUUUUAACACCCUUGCUUACACCCUUUCACACCCUUUUGUCAUUAUUUUACAAUACUACACCCUAUAUAUAGGGUGCGUACAUCUUUUGCACCCUCCGAUUGGCACCAAGGGUGUUUCUUUAUGCUCAAGAAGGGUGUAAGUGACGCACAAAUAUGUAUGCGUACACACAUGUGUGCGCAUGCGUCUUCGACAAAGGCUAUAUAUAACAUGCCCAGAGCAUUGGUGAUAAUAAAGGCGCUUUAUUCGGUAAUACAGUGUUCAAGGCAAUUCAUGUUAAGUGUAUCUAUCGUAAAGUAUUAAAAUCCAUAUGUACUUAUUGCAAUCGGCUAGCUUUCAUUUUCAAUUUAAAGAGCAUGCGGUAAUUACAAAAUUCAAGUCAGCCUGUACGCAAAAUGCACCCAGUAAGUGCGAACUUGGUGAGCGAAUCAAGUUUUUAAGAUAUUCCUUCGAAAGUGCUUGCAUGACGUUCUCCUUUCUAUUUUUCGAGAAAAGCUUUUUGGUGCAUAUAUGUGGAACACCAGUGCAUUAUGCGACACUAUUCAGGUGUAUAUUUUGCGAGGCUGGUGCCGCUGACAGCAUUCCUGUCAAAUGGCUAAACUUCACAUAUUGUCUCGCUUCAAUAUUGAAAUAACAAUAUGACCUAUCAAAAUAUUAAUGAAAAAGUAUUUUUAUGGAUAUCAGUCCUCGUAAAAUAUACGUUCUAACAUUGAUAAAAAGUUAUGACACAACUCAUUAUUUACCCGUUCAUUACAUGCACCAACCACCCCAAAUUAGCACUACACUAGAUAGAUUGCAGUGCACUGCAUUGCAACACAGGGGCACUGGGGUUUGCCAUCCCCAGUAGGAAAUCGGACGCUUGUCUGGUUGACUUGCUUGCCUUUCCUCUCCUUGCUUUUUCUAUCUCUUUGAACAAACUGCACUACCUUGUCGAAGAGGAAGCGUUAUCCUCUUUCAGAGUUAAAUAAUUUGUCGAGUAAUAAUUUUACAGUUCCAGCAACUACAGCAUAAACUGGAAAACGAAACCGAAUCUGAUUUGUUCUCCGUGCUCACAGAGCGCGGCACCAGGUGGCACCGUGCGCUGCGCCUCCGGUCUCGAAGGAUCUAACAAGCGGUUGAUGCAGCUGCGAAUGUGUAGUCAGUCGGCUUUUAUCGUUUUAUGUUGUGCAGAUUGUUAGUUCACCGUAAAUAUGUCUUGAUUUGUACUCAAGAGUGGAGCAAGGCCUCAAGGAACAGAGAUUGACGCAACGGGAGCGAAGAACAGAAGCGAUGGAUGGUUACGCUGGUUGACUCUCGGCAUGUUCAAAAUGGCGAAGUUCCGAAUUUGUCGCUGUGUGACGUGCGCGUGUGUGGUCGUGGUGUGCCGUCAUAGCGCGGGGAUAUUUGUGCUGAAUGUGUUUCACUUCGUCUACAAAACUCUGCAUGCAAACUCUGCACGCAAGAAGUCGUGUGUUCAGGUGCACGUAUGUGCAUGCUUGGAUACGGAAAGCCUGCCCUCAACGGUAGCGCUAAGCUCAGCCGUGUUGGCUCAGCGCUACCCCCUCAACGGAUGUUCGUCUACGUGCUCGUAACUUGCUCACGAGACCUCCUUGCUGUUGCAACUCUGAGGACAAUUGCUUCAAAUGGGAAGGAACAACCAGCAGUGCCAGCGCUAUUUGUACAUGAGGACACCUCCUUGCUGUUGCAACUCUGAGGACAAUUGCUUCAAAUGGGAAGGAACAACCAGCAGUGCCAGCGCUAUUUGUAGAUGAGGACACCUCCUUGCUGUUGCAACUCUGAGGACAAUUGCUUCAAAUGGGAAGGAACAACCAGCACUGCCAGCGCUAUUUGUACAUGAGGACACCUCCUUGCUGUUGCAACUCUGAGGACAAUUGCUUCAAAUGGGAAGGAACAACCAGCAGUGCCAGCGCUAUUUGUACAUGAGGACGACGAGAGGGUUCCACUCACCCCCUGUGUGGUGUAUUCUGGCCACAACCUGGAACAGGCAGAGUUUCUCCACCUCUGUGUCGACAAGGAGCGGCUGUUCAUGGUCAAAAAUGCGGAGGAAGGGGUCAUCGCAAUCAUGAGUGCAUUUUUUGUAUUGAACAUAGUAUAUGGGCCUAAAUACUUCAGCACCAGUGCAGUACUGGAACGAUUGUUUUUUGGUUUGAAUGUAAUAAUGCCAAGUGGUUGUUACAAAGUUUGUGAACAGAGUUGUGCAGGCAAUGCGACACCGAGGUUCAUGUACGUUACCAUACGAAUGCUAGCCUGACAAUUUUGUGCAAUAGCUUGAGCAAUAGUUUUGUGCAAUUUUUAAUGUAUCAUUUUCUUUCUUUUUGAUCACGAUAAUAGCAUGAUCCAGUAACUUCUUCCGCUGCUUGUGCCAACCACCUAUAGACUGCACCUUUUUUUGUUCUGAUGACUUGACAGACAAUGUAAUAGUGCCCAAGUGUAGGUCAGCAAAAAACAAACGUGGUGUACUGUAGUCUGCACGUACUUAUCGAAAACGUUGCUGGGUGUUGCUAUGUGCUGAAAAGAAGAUUACAAUACGUCUAGUUCUAAUGAGGUCUGCCUUAACAUUAAUGUGUGUGAAACAAUUGUCAGCAGUUUUAUACAAAGAUUAUAGCUUGCUUGCUCUUCCUUAACAUAGUUUGUUUAUGAAACCUAUUUGCCAGCCAGGGAACAAUGUCCCAGCUUAUAAGUACUGCAUGAUACAACUGUUAACGUUUGUAUUCCCUUAUAGGGCACAUCAACACUGGCAGCCAGUGCUCAACUUUUCGUAACAUGCUGCUUGGUCAAUAUUUUAUAUUUUGCGCAUGUGUUGCAUUGUGUAACCUUUCCAAUACAAGUGAAAGUUUUUGUGGUUUGACUGUCCUUUUAUGAACUAUGUUUUAUGUUUAUUAUGUAUAACUUAGCAGCUGAGGCCUGACAUACUAGUCAAAACGCAACAGAGUAUCCAAUUUUUAUAAGGUUUUACAAGGUUUUUACAAGUUUUGGAUUGUAAAACAAUGUUGCGUGGAACAAUUAUCAGGCUGAAGUACUGUUACAUUGUCAUGAAUACCGGCAGCCUUUGCUUAACCUUUAUGAAUCUGCUGGCAGGCUGUAGUAUCUUUAGCUCGUUUAUUUUUUGUACAUGUGUUGCCAAUGCCUCAUCCGAGUGAAAGCUAGUCGCUUAUAUACUACAUAUACUGGUGUUUCUACAAAGAAUUUACGUAAUAUUUAAAAAUAGCCGUUCUGAAGUACAAGGACGGCUCGUUAGAAGACAGCAAUGCUGUCAGUGGUGCCGACCAUGGGUGGAUGGCUGAUAUCUGGUAAUUAGUUGCUAAUUAACAAUCUAAUAUAUCUUACUUUUAGUUUCAGCAGACUCAUUGUAACCAGGAAAUUAAAGCAAGCUCUCUGCACAAGACAUGUGAACUUUUGGAUCUGGAAAAAUACAAUUACUCGCAGAACUGUGGCGUGAUGAAUUUAGGCUGUCUGAGCACGCGAAACUGAAACUGAGAUGCUGCUGAAACUCAAGGCAACAUUUUGCUUACGUCGCCCAGAAGCGGGCUACCAGCACACUGCACGAAUCCCUAUUGCUGCCCACUGUUGGGUGAUGUGAGCAGAACGCCCCCUCGAAGGGCGCGUCUGUGCUCACUGUAGCCUCGGGUACAGUUUCGCGUGCUGUGAUAGCCAAAGUUCAUCGUGCUGCAGUUGUGUGGGUAAUUGCAUUUUUUCCAGAUUCUAAAGUCUAUAUAAUUUCCCGAUUACGAUGAGUCCACUCAAACUAAAAAUAAAAUGUAUUUUAUUUUUGUUAUUUAGCAACUAAUUACCAUGUAUCACCCAUAACCUCGUGGUCGACACUGCUGGUGGCAUGUCUCCAAAGGAACCGUUGUUUUAUUUCAGAACGGCUGUUUUUACAUAUCAGCAAUGUGUUUGUAGAAACACCCUUACAGAGUUGUGUGAUAUUACUGUUGAACAAAUCUUAUUGUGUACUCAGGUGAAAUAUGCACAGAUGAAGAGCAGAUAUAUACGUGGUGUCACCUCUGUUAAUGUACUAUAAUUUUUUUGUGUGAAGGCCACCACACAGUUUUUUUUUGCAAAUGGCUGCUCUGCUUUUACUCACUCGUACUCUCUCACUUGUACUCAGUAUACACGUAUAUUAUACCACAGAUAUACUGUGAUCCAUGUGAAUUACUGUGAUCAGUUGCAAACUAUAUAUUGUUAACUGCAGUGAUACUUUACAAAUAAUGUUUGUAUUUUAUUGCUCCUUGUAUGAAAUACAAUAAAGUUCAU
This is an RNA transcript of Dermacentor silvarum, 4282 nucleotides long. RefSeq lists it as uncharacterized. Lineage: Eukaryota; Metazoa; Arthropoda; Arachnida; Ixodida; Ixodidae. The record is from RefSeq and is a predicted model, not a curated record. The transcript has 6 exons.